GAGUCCGCGCGGGAGCAUCCGGCUAUGAUCAGUUGGUAUAUGGACGCGAGCUCGGCUAAUUAUCUCUGCAUAUAUGGACCCAGCCCAUCCUAAAACAUAUAGAGAACGCGCGAAUAUCGUCUCUCCCGGGUCAGUACCCCGAGCGAACGUCUUCAUAUUGAAUGUCAACAAUGAGGUGGUGCAGUGUACUGCGGUCGGGGCAAAGGAUGGCCACGAAGAAGAGGACUGACUAGUCACUUUUGACAGCAAGUUCAAGAAUUGAAGAAUCUAUGCUCUGCCGUAGGUUCACAGGGAGUCAGUCCAGGGUUACGAUCUCCCAGAAACUUAUUAAAAAACUUCGCCAAUAGAUCGAGGUCGUUUCUCCUAUCAUUCCCCAGGAUGGGGCCACCAAAUUUGAGGUGUCCGAGGAACUGAAGGAAAACAAGUCACUUACACUUUUUACAACAAGACCUCAUGCUCUGAAACCCGAGCCCGGCGCAUGAGAUGGUGGUUUUUUUUAAGUUCUUGAAGCCUUUCCGGACCACUGAGCCAGAGUGCCGACCACACCUCCCGGGGAGACUGGAGACUCUGGAGUCCGUCUGACAUGCCAUUAGAUAUAUAGAUGGUUUCGAGGUCUUUAGAACGGACCAAGGCACGGGAUUCACAAACUCCAAUUCUGUCUGUACUAGCAUCCCGGGUGGGCCAUCGCGGGAGGGCGUGUGCAGAGAAGCGCUGUAUUGGUUGAUGAGUUGAUAUUCAUUUAAUAAUACUUACUUUCCUAGAAACAUAUCACAUCAUAAUAUAUGACGUAUAUUGCAUAUCUAAAGAUAGGAUACAAAUUCCAUCUGAGCGGCGUGAUACUGUUGUUCAAGGACUCGCGAGGCCCCAAUGUUCUUCGAAUAUAUUGAAAACGGCUCGUUCAAAAAUGGUGGAUUGGGUUAUCUAUAUGACAAAAAAGUGGAUCUUAAAAAUAAAUAAGUACA
This 962-nucleotide small RNA is filed under the name Histoplasma capsulatum. RNAcentral's name for it is "hypothetical RNA". The record is from RNAcentral. RNAcentral also lists the same sequence under 1 other name. Lineage: Eukaryota; Fungi; Ascomycota; Eurotiomycetes; Onygenales; Ajellomycetaceae.